UCUAAUGCAAAUAACUAGUUCAGACAUGUUCAUACAUAAGACAAAAAUAAUAUAGAAAUGUAUUUUAUGUGCUAUUUUAUUUAUUGGCAGAUAAUUAAGAGAAACUUAUUUUAUUCUUUGAAUUCCUAAAUUUAUUGCAUAUAGAUUGUAAUCUUUUGUUGGUAAUGGAUAUUAAUUAUUCGCUUAAAAAAAUCCACCUGGAUAUAUUUGAGACUAACAUUCUAUUAAUUCUAACUGACAGAGACAAUUGUGAUAAAGAUGGAAUAUCUUUAUCUAAAAGUUCUAGUGCUGUUGAUUAUUGUAUUUGGUCAUUUCAAUUUUUCAAAUGUUGUAAUUAUGCCUGUAGAUAUUAUGUUGUAAUUAUGCAAUCAUGUACAUAUUUUUUCCGUCUCAAUGCACACUGUUAAUUGACAUUUUGAAAAUGACACAAUAUUGAUGCAAACAUUAAUGUAAGAAUUGAGAUGGAA
This 467-nucleotide long non-coding RNA is filed under the name Mytilus galloprovincialis (Mediterranean mussel). The record is from RNAcentral. Lineage: Eukaryota; Metazoa; Mollusca; Bivalvia; Mytilida; Mytilidae.